AAAGAACCCGGUGACAGGUGCUGCAUGGCUGUCGUCAGCUCGUGUCGUGAGAUGUUGGGUUAAGUCCCGCAACGAGCGCAACCCUUCGCCUUUUAGUUGCCAGCAUUCAGUUUGGGCACUCUAGAGGGACUGCCGGUGUCAAACCGGAGGAAGGUGGGGAUGACGUCAAGUCCUCAUGGCCUUUAUGUCUAGGGCUACACACGUACUACAAUGGCCGGUACAAAGGGCAGCCACUCAGCGAUGAGGCGCUAAUCCCAUAAAGCCGGUCUCAGUCCGGAUCGCAGUCUGCAACUCGACUGCGUGAAGUUGGAUUCGCUAGUAAUCGCGCAUCAGCCAUGGCGCGGUGAAUACGUUCCCGGGCCUU
RNAcentral lists this ribosomal RNA (364 nucleotides) under uncultured Desulfovibrio sp. RNAcentral's name for it is "bacterial SSU rRNA". It matches the Rfam family "Bacterial small subunit ribosomal RNA", at positions 1021 to 1382 of the family's 1533-position model. Lineage: Bacteria; Pseudomonadati; Thermodesulfobacteriota; Desulfovibrionia; Desulfovibrionales; Desulfovibrionaceae. The record is from RNAcentral.